UUGAGGAUGGGCAAGCCUACAA
RNAcentral lists this non-coding RNA (22 nucleotides) under Arabidopsis thaliana (thale cress). The record is from RNAcentral. Lineage: Eukaryota; Viridiplantae; Streptophyta; Magnoliopsida; Brassicales; Brassicaceae.